CCUACGGGGGGCUGCAGUGAGGAAUAUUGGUCAAUGGACGAGAGUCUGAACCAGCCAAGUAGCGUGAAGGAUGACUGCCCUAUGGGUUGUAAACUUCUUUUAUAUGGGAAUAAAACGUUCCACGUGUGGGAUUUUGUAUGUACCAUAUGAAUAAGGAUCGGCUAACUCCGUGCCAGCAGCCGCGGUAAUACGGAGGAUCCGAGCGUUAUCCGGAUUUAUUGGGUUUAAAGGGAGCGUAGGUGGAAUGUUAAGUCAGUUGUGAAAGUUUGCGGCUCAACCGUAAAAUUGCAGUUGAAACUGGCAGUCUUGAGUACAGUAGAGGUGGGCGGAAUUCGUGGUGUAGCGGUGAAAUGCUUAGAUAUCACGAAGAACUCCGAUUGCGAAGGCAGUUCACUGGACUGCAACUGACACUGAGGCUCGAAAGUGUGGGUAUCAAACAGGAUUAGAUACCCCUGUAGUC
RNAcentral lists this ribosomal RNA (460 nucleotides) under uncultured bacterium. Its description in RNAcentral is "partial 16S ribosomal RNA". It matches the Rfam family "Bacterial small subunit ribosomal RNA", at positions 338 to 795 of the family's 1533-position model. The record is from RNAcentral.